AGGAUAAACGCUGGCGGCGUGCAUGAGACAUGCAAGUCGAACGGACGAUCAGGGCUUGCUCUGAUCGUUAGUGGCGGACGGCUGAGUAACGCGUAGGUGACCUGCCCCGAAGUGGGGGAUAACUGCCCGAAAGGGUGGCUAAUACCGCAUGCGGUGGUUCGUUCGUUCGAACCAUCAAAGCAGCAAUGCGCUUCAGGAGGGGCCUGCGUCCGAUUAGCUCGUUGGGUGGGUAACGGCUACACCAAGGCGACGAUCGGUAGGUGUCUGAGAGGACGAUCACCCAGACUGGGACUGACGACACCGGCCCAGACCUCCGUACGGGAGCAGCAGGUCGGUAAUUUCGACGACAAGUCGGGACGAAACGCCGUAGACGCGAGACCAACGCCGCGUGGA
This 393-nucleotide ribosomal RNA is filed under the name uncultured soil bacterium. RNAcentral describes it as "bacterial SSU rRNA". It matches the Rfam family "Bacterial small subunit ribosomal RNA", at positions 26 to 405 of the family's 1533-position model. The record is from RNAcentral.